This 72-nucleotide transfer RNA is filed under the name Anneissia japonica. Its description in RNAcentral is "tRNA-Gly". It matches the Rfam family "tRNA". From Rfam's summary of the family: Transfer RNA (tRNA) molecules are approximately 80 nucleotides in length. Their secondary structure includes four short double-helical elements and three loops (D, anti-codon, and T loops). Lineage: Eukaryota; Metazoa; Echinodermata; Crinoidea; Comatulida; Comatulidae. The record is from RNAcentral.
GCGUCGGUGGUGUAGUGGUUAACAUAGUUGCCUUCCAAGCAAUUGUCAUGGGUUCGAUUACCGGCCGACACA